Molecule: ribosomal RNA, 1327 nt
Filed under: gamma proteobacterium AKB08
Lineage: Bacteria; Pseudomonadati; Pseudomonadota; Gammaproteobacteria
Description: partial 16S ribosomal RNA
Rfam family: Bacterial small subunit ribosomal RNA
Source: RNAcentral
AGAGCCCGCCUACGGUCUAGGAUGGAUGUCGGUGGUGCGUUCAACAUACGUAAGCUGAGUGGAUGACCUAAAAUCCGUCCCCGAACGGCGAGUGGCGGACGGGUGAGUAAUAUGUAGGAAUUUGCCCAGUUGAGGGGGAUAACAGUGGGAAACUGCCGCUAAUAUUGGAUAAUCUGUAGAGGGGUACGGAGGGGACCUUCUGGCCUUCUGCCAUAGGAUGAGCCUGGGGUGUAUUAGCUAGUAGGCGAGGCAACGGCUUACCAAGGCGAUGACCCCCAGUUGAUCUGAGAGGGCGACCGGCCAUACUGGGAUCGAGAUAUGGUCCAGACUCCUAUGGGAGGCAGUAGUAGGGAAUUUUGCGUAACGGGUGAAAGCCUGAUGGAGUAAUGCCGCGUGUGUGAAGAAGGCCCUCGGGCUGUAAAGUACUUNCACCAGGGAAGAAAGAGCAUUGUUUAAUACGGUGGCAUUCUGACGUUAUUCAAUGAGAAAGUACCGNCCAUCAUGGUGCNAGUAGUGGGGCAAAUAUCANGCGGUAGUGCCGCUUGGAACCUACNGGGCGNAAAGGUUUNGUAGGCGGCUNCCNAACCCGGCGCGAAAAUCUNUGGUCUAANUUCGGGNAGNGACUCUNNAACUGGCGAUUCCACCUUAAAAAAGAAAAUGGAACCUUUUCUCCANAACCCGGUAUACGGAGGGNCANNNUUNUUGGAANNUGGGNUUAAGGNCCCCAGGGUUUUNAACNAAUUUUAAACCCCGGNNNNACCUGGGAUGNCCUUUUCNANUUGGCANGUAANANUNUNNUAAAGGGGGUANAAUUCCAGGUGNAACGGUAAAAUGCGNAAAGNNUGGAGNAAUACCGGUGGCGAAGGCGGCCCNUUGGNCGAAGACUGACGCUCAGGCACGAAAGCGUGGGGAGCAAACAGGAUUAGAUACCCUGGUAGUCCACGCCGUAAACGAUGUCUACUCGGAGUUUGGCGUCUAGAACGCUGGGCUCUCAAGCUAACGCAUUAAGUAGACCGCCUGGGGAGUACGGCCGCAAGGUUAAAACUCAAAUGAAUUGACGGGGGCCCGCACAAGCGGUGGAGCAUGUGGUUUAAUUCGAUGCAACGCGAAGAACCUUACCUACUCUUGACAUCCAGAGAAUUUUCCAGAGAUGGAUUAGUGCCUUCGGGAACUCUGAGGCAGGUGCUGCAUGGCUGUCGUCAGCUCGUGUUGUGAAAUGUUGGGUUAAGUCCCGCAACGAGCGCAACCCUUAUCCUUACUUGCCAGCGGGUGAUGCCGGGAACUGUAGGGAGACUGCCGGUGAUAAACCGGAGGAAGGUGGGAACGA